AGGGAUGUUAUUUUGGGCAGUGCAUCUGGACUUGGUUCAAGUGGCACCAGCCAAAUCCCUGCCUUACUGACCUCUCCCCUGGAGGAGCAGGAGCAGCGCUCAAGGCCGCCUUGGGAGGGCUGAGAGGCAGGCUCUGGACUGGGGACACAGGGAUAGCUGAGCCCCAGCUGGGGGUGGAAGCUGAGCCAGAGACAGUCACAGAGGAACAAGAUCAAGAUGCGCUUUAACUGAGAAGCCCCCAAGGCAGAGGCUGAGAAUCAGAAGACAUUUCAGCAGACAUCUACAAAUCUGAAGGACAAAACAUGGUUCAAGCAUCUGGGCACAGGCGGCAAAAUAACUCUCCAUGUGAUGACAGAAGGAGCACACACAAAAAAAACCCUCUCAGAAAUAUUAAAAUGGUUGCAGGUAAUUCAAAUGGUAUACUGUUUUAAAAGGU
RNAcentral lists this long non-coding RNA (436 nucleotides) under Homo sapiens (human). RNAcentral describes it as "HSALNT0352372". The record is from RNAcentral. Lineage: Eukaryota; Metazoa; Chordata; Mammalia; Primates; Hominidae.